GGAUGAAGAAGCAGCUGGAGUACGAGCGGCAGGUGGCCACCAUUCGAGCGGCCGCGGUUGCCGCCGACGGCGACUUCUCGGUGUCCCAGGCCGAGCUCUCGUCCCGCCAGGCCAUGCUGGAGAACGCCUCCGACAUCAAGCUGGAGAAGUUCAGGGGCUCCGUGGAGGAGUUGGAUGCC
Long non-coding RNA from Neopelma chrysocephalum (saffron-crested tyrant-manakin), 179 nucleotides. RefSeq lists it as uncharacterized. The transcript is spliced from 3 exons. The record is from RefSeq and is a predicted model, not a curated record. Lineage: Eukaryota; Metazoa; Chordata; Aves; Passeriformes; Pipridae.